This 74-nucleotide transfer RNA is filed under the name Candidatus Sulfopaludibacter sp. SbA3. Its description in RNAcentral is "tRNA-Thr". It matches the Rfam family "tRNA". Rfam says of the family: Transfer RNA (tRNA) molecules are approximately 80 nucleotides in length. Their secondary structure includes four short double-helical elements and three loops (D, anti-codon, and T loops). Further hydrogen bonds mediate the characteristic L-shaped molecular structure. tRNAs have two regions of fundamental functional importance: the anti-codon, which is responsible for specific mRNA codon recognition, and the 3' end, to which the tRNAs corresponding amino acid is attached (by aminoacyl-tRNA synthetases). tRNAs cope with the degeneracy of the genetic code in two manners: having more than one tRNA (with a specific anti-codon) for a particular amino acid; and 'wobble' base-pairing, i.e. permitting non-standard base-pairing at the 3rd anti-codon position. Lineage: Bacteria; Pseudomonadati; Acidobacteriota; Terriglobia; Bryobacterales; Solibacteraceae. The record is from RNAcentral.
GCGAUGGUAGCUCAGAGGCAGAGCGGGGGAUCAGUAAUCCCUGCGUCGAGAGUUCGAAACCCUCCCAUCGCCCA